Molecule: transfer RNA, 75 nt
Filed under: Danio rerio (zebrafish)
Lineage: Eukaryota; Metazoa; Chordata; Actinopteri; Cypriniformes; Danionidae
Rfam family: tRNA
About the family: Transfer RNA (tRNA) molecules are approximately 80 nucleotides in length. Their secondary structure includes four short double-helical elements and three loops (D, anti-codon, and T loops).
Source: Rfam by way of RNAcentral
AUCGUGGCUGAGUGGUUAAGGCGAUGGACUAGAAAUUCAUUGGGGUCUCCCCGUGCAGGUUCAAAUCCUGCCGAU